UACGAGAGGGGCAAGCGUUAUUCGGGAUGAUUGGGCGUAAAGCGCACGUAGGCUGUUUAGAAAAUCAGAGAGAAAAACCUCAAAGCUCCCCUUUGACACUUCUCUCCUGAUUCCUAAACUCGAGUGAGUAAGAGGAGAAUGGAAUUCCUGGCGUAGAGGUAAAAUUUGUUGAUAUCAGGAGGAACACCAAAAGCGAAGGCAAUUCUCUGGUACUCUACUGACGUUGAGGUGCGACAGCGUGGGGAUCAAAAGGG
This 254-nucleotide ribosomal RNA is filed under the name uncultured bacterium. Its description in RNAcentral is "partial 16S ribosomal RNA". It matches the Rfam family "Bacterial small subunit ribosomal RNA", at positions 524 to 776 of the family's 1533-position model. The record is from RNAcentral.